Molecule: ribosomal RNA, 468 nt
Filed under: uncultured bacterium
Lineage: Bacteria
Description: partial 16S ribosomal RNA
Rfam family: Bacterial small subunit ribosomal RNA
Source: RNAcentral
GACGAACGCUGGCGGCGUGCUUAACACAUGCAAGUCGAACGGAAAGGCCCUGCUUUUGUGGGGUGCUCGAGUGGCGAACGGGUGAGUAGCACGUGAGUAACCUGCCCUUGACUUUGGGAUAACUUCAGGAAACUGGGGCUAAUACCGGAUAGGAGCUCCUGCUGCGUGGUGGGGGUUGGAAAGUUUCGGCGGUUGGGGAUGGACUCGCGGCUUAUCAGCUUGUUGGUGGGGUAGUGGCUUACCAAGGCUUUGACGGGUAGCCGGCCUGAGAGGGUGACCGGCCACAUUGGGACUGAGAUACGGCCCAGACUCCUACGGGAGGCAGCAGUGGGGAAUAUUGCACAAUGGGCGGAAGCCUGAUGCAGCAACGCCGCGUGCGGGAUGACGGCCUUCGGGUUGUAAACCGCUUUCGCCUGUGACGAAGCGUGAGUGACGGUAAUGGGUAAAGAAGCACCGGCUAACUACGUG